Molecule: ribosomal RNA, 548 nt
Filed under: uncultured bacterium
Lineage: Bacteria
Description: bacterial SSU rRNA
Rfam family: Bacterial small subunit ribosomal RNA
Source: RNAcentral
CGAUCAGUAGCCGACCUGAGAGGGCGACCGGCCACAUUGGGACUGAGACACGGCCCAAACUCCUACGGGAGGCAGCAGUGGGGAAUAUUGCACAAUGGGGGAAACCCUGAUGCAGCGACGCCGCGUGAGUGAGGAAGUAUUUCGGUAUGUAAAGCUCUAUCAGCAGGGAAGAAAAUGACGGUACCUGACUAAGAAGCCCCGGCUAACUACGUGCCAGCAGCCGCGGUAAUACGUAGGGGGCAAGCGUUAUCCGGAUUUACUGGGUGUAAAGGGAGCGUAGACGGAUAAGCAAGUCUGAUGUGAAAAUCCGGGGCUCAACCCCGGAAUUGCAUUGGAAACUGCAUAUCUAGAGUGUCGGAGAGGCAAGUGGAAUUCCUGGUGUAGCGGUGAAAUGCGUAGAUAUCAGGAGGAACACCAGUGGCGAAGGCGGCUUGCUGGACGAUGACUGACGUUGAGGCUCGAAAGCGUGGGGAGCAAACAGGAUUAGAUACCCUGGUAGUCCACGCCGUAAACGAUGACUACUAGGUGUCGGGAGGCAAAGCCUUUCG